GAUGAACGCUGGCGGCGUGCCUAAUACAUGCAAGUCGAACGCUGAAGGAGGAGCUUGCUCUUCUGGAUGAGUUGCGAACGGGUGAGUAACGCGUAGGUAACCUGCCUGGUAGCGGGGGAUAACUAAUGGAAACGAUAGCUAAUACCGCAUGACAACAGUUAUUGCAUGAUAACUGUUUAAAAGUGGCAACUGCUGCACUACCAUAUGGCCCUGCGUUGUAUUAGCUUGUUGGUGAGGUAACGGCCCACCCAGGGGAAUAUACAUAGCCGAGCUGAGAGGGUUGAUGGCCAACACGGGAACGGGAAACGGCCCCGGCCCCCACGGGGAGGAGCAGGAGGGAAACUUUGGACAAGGGGGGAAGGCUGAACGCAGAACGCCGCGGGAGGUAAGAAGGGUUUCGGGUCGGAAAGGUCUGUUGUAAGGGAAGAAAGAGUGGGAGAGUGGAACGUUCACGUUGUGACGGUAUCUUACCAGAAAGCGACGGCUAACUACGUG
This 495-nucleotide ribosomal RNA is filed under the name uncultured bacterium. RNAcentral describes it as "partial 16S ribosomal RNA". It matches the Rfam family "Bacterial small subunit ribosomal RNA", at positions 28 to 507 of the family's 1533-position model. The record is from RNAcentral.